This 471-nucleotide ribosomal RNA is filed under the name uncultured bacterium. RNAcentral describes it as "bacterial SSU rRNA". It matches the Rfam family "Bacterial small subunit ribosomal RNA", at positions 335 to 798 of the family's 1533-position model. The record is from RNAcentral.
ACUCCUACGGGAGGCAGCAGUGGGGAAUAUUGCACAAUGGGCGCAAGCCUGAUGCAGCCAUGCCGCGUGUAUGAAGAAGGCCUUCGGGUUGUAAAGUACUUUCAGCAGUGAGGAAGGUGGGUAUGUUAAUAGCAUACUCAUUUGACGUUAGCUGCAGAAGAAGCACCGGCUAACUCCGUGCCAGCAGCCGCGGUAAUACGGAGGGUGCGAGCGUUAAUCGGAAUUACUGGGCGUAAAGCGCAUGCAGGUGGUUUGUUAAGUCAGAUGUGAAAGCCCGGGGCUCAACCUCGGAAUUGCAUUUGAAACUGGCAAACUAGAGUACUGUAGAGGGGGGUAGAAUUUCAGGUGUAGCGGUGAAAUGCGUAGAGAUCUGAAGGAUACCGGUGGCGAAGGCGGCCCCCUGGACAGAUACUGACACUCAGAUAGCGAAAGCGUGGGGAGCAAACAGGAUUAGAUACCCUGGUAGGCUCU